Molecule: long non-coding RNA, 311 nt
Filed under: Lathyrus oleraceus (garden pea)
Lineage: Eukaryota; Viridiplantae; Streptophyta; Magnoliopsida; Fabales; Fabaceae
Description: Pisum sativum (pea) long non-coding RNA (PSAT_LNC033279)
Source: RNAcentral
AUGUCUGGUCACCUCUCUCUGUUGGUUUCGAUAAACGUCGAGCUUCUCCUGUUCGUCCGUUGACGUCUGGUCGAGUCUUUCCCAGUCAUCCGUUGAUGUCUAGUUACCUCUCCGUUGGUUUUGAUAAACGUCGAGUUUUUCCUAGUUGUCUGUUGACAUCUAGAUGUAUUUCUUUCUUCCCAGUUCAUCUGUUGAUGUCUGGUCACCUCUCUCCGUUGGUUUCGAUAAACGUCGAGCUUCUCCCGUUCGUCCGUUGACGUCUGGUCGAGUCUUUCCCAGUCAUCCGUUGAUGUCUGGUUACCUCUCCGUUG